Macaca fascicularis (crab-eating macaque) is the source of this 148-nucleotide unclassified non-coding RNA. It matches the Rfam family "Metazoan signal recognition particle RNA". Rfam says of the family: The signal recognition particle (SRP) is a universally conserved ribonucleoprotein. It is involved in the co-translational targeting of proteins to membranes. The eukaryotic SRP consists of a 300-nucleotide 7S RNA and six proteins: SRPs 72, 68, 54, 19, 14, and 9. The record is from Ensembl. NCBI's taxonomy places the organism in Eukaryota, Metazoa, Chordata, Mammalia, Primates, Cercopithecidae.
GCUGGGCAUGGUGGCGCAUGCCUGUAAUCUCAGCUACUGGGGAGCCUGAGGCAGGAGAAUCGCUUGAACCUGGGAGGCUGAGGUUGCAGUGAGCUGAGAUCGUGCCACUACACUCCACCCCAGGUGACAGAGUGAGACUCUGCAUCCA